CAGAGCCUCUACAGCCUCCUCUCUCAACCAGCCCACAGAACACAGGACACAGCCAAUACACCAGCACAGAAGGGGGCAGAGAGAGAGAGAGAGGGAUGGAGAGAGAGAGAGAGAGGGAUGGAAAGAGAGAGAGAUGGAGAGGGGAUAGAGAUAAAUAUAGAACCUAGAGAAGGAGAGGAUGAGAGAGAGGAAGGGAAGUGGAGGUAGAGAGAUGGAUAAAGAGAGAGGGAUAGAGAGAUGGAGAGAGAGGGAUGGAGAGGGGAUAGAGAUAAAGAUAAAAGGUAGAAAAGGAGAGGAUGAGAGAGAGGAAGGGAAGUGGAGGUAGAGAGAUGGAUAAAGAGGGAGAGAAAGAGAGAGGGAUAGAGAGAGAGAGGAAGGGAAGUAGAGGUAGAGAGAUGUGGAUUGUGAGGGGGCAGAGAGAGAGAGAGAGAGCCAGAGAGAGAGAGGGAUAGAGAGGGGACACAAAUAAAGAUAGAAGGUAGAGAAGGAGAAGAGAGAGAGGAAGGGAAGUGGAGGUAGAGAGAUGGAGAGAGGGAUAGAGAGAUGGAGAGAGAGGGAUAGAGAGGGGAUACAGAUGAAGAUAGAAGGUAGAGAAGGAGAAGAGAGAGAGGAAGGG
Clupea harengus (Atlantic herring) is the source of this 616-nucleotide long non-coding RNA. The record is from Ensembl. NCBI's taxonomy places the organism in Eukaryota, Metazoa, Chordata, Actinopteri, Clupeiformes, Clupeidae.